GUGCACGCUGGCGGUAGGCCUAGCACAUGCCAGUCGAACGGCAGCACAGUAAGAGCUUGCUCUUACGGGUGGCGAGUGGCGGACGGGUGAGGAAUACAUCGGAAUCUACUUUUUGGUGGGGGAUAACGUAGGGAAACUUACGCUAAUACCGCAUACGACCUACGGGUGAAAGCAGGGGAUCUUCGGACCUUGCGCGAUUGAAUGAGCCGAUGUCGGAUUAGCUAGUUGGCGGGGUAAAGGCCCACCAAGGCGACGAUCCGUAGCUGGUCUGAGAGGAUGAUCAGCCACACUGGAACUGAGACACGGUCCAGACUCCUACGGGAGGCAGCAGUGGGGAAUAUUGGACAAUGGGCGCAAGCCUGAUCCAGCCAUACCGCGUGGGUGAAGAAGGCCUUCGGGUUGUAAAGCCCUUUUGUUGGGAAAGAAAAGCAGCAGGUUAAUACCCCGCUGUUCUGACGGUACCCAAAGAAUAAGCACCGGCUAACUUCGUG
RNAcentral lists this ribosomal RNA (491 nucleotides) under uncultured bacterium. RNAcentral describes it as "partial 16S ribosomal RNA". It matches the Rfam family "Bacterial small subunit ribosomal RNA", at positions 29 to 507 of the family's 1533-position model. The record is from RNAcentral.